This 1554-nucleotide ribosomal RNA is filed under the name Salmonella enterica subsp. enterica serovar Typhimurium. Its description in RNAcentral is "bacterial SSU rRNA". It matches the Rfam family "Bacterial small subunit ribosomal RNA". Lineage: Bacteria; Pseudomonadati; Pseudomonadota; Gammaproteobacteria; Enterobacterales; Enterobacteriaceae. The record is from RNAcentral. RNAcentral also lists the same sequence under 3 other names.
UUAAAUUGAAGAGUUUGAUCAUGGCUCAGAUUGAACGCUGGCGGCAGGCCUAACACAUGCAAGUCGAACGGUAACAGGAAGCAGCUUGCUGCUUCGCUGACGAGUGGCGGACGGGUGAGUAAUGUCUGGGAAACUGCCUGAUGGAGGGGGAUAACUACUGGAAACGGUGGCUAAUACCGCAUAACGUCGCAAGACCAAAGAGGGGGACCUUCGGGCCUCUUGCCAUCAGAUGUGCCCAGAUGGGAUUAGCUUGUUGGUGAGGUAACGGCUCACCAAGGCGACGAUCCCUAGCUGGUCUGAGAGGAUGACCAGCCACACUGGAACUGAGACACGGUCCAGACUCCUACGGGAGGCAGCAGUGGGGAAUAUUGCACAAUGGGCGCAAGCCUGAUGCAGCCAUGCCGCGUGUAUGAAGAAGGCCUUCGGGUUGUAAAGUACUUUCAGCAGGGAGGAAGGUGUUGUGGUUAAUAACCGCAGCAAUUGACGUUACCCGCAGAAGAAGCACCGGCUAACUCCGUGCCAGCAGCCGCGGUAAUACGGAGGGUGCAAGCGUUAAUCGGAAUUACUGGGCGUAAAGCGCACGCAGGCGGUCUGUCAAGUCGGAUGUGAAAUCCCCGGGCUCAACCUGGGAACUGCAUUCGAAACUGGCAGGCUUGAGUCUUGUAGAGGGGGGUAGAAUUCCAGGUGUAGCGGUGAAAUGCGUAGAGAUCUGGAGGAAUACCGGUGGCGAAGGCGGCCCCCUGGACAAAGACUGACGCUCAGGUGCGAAAGCGUGGGGAGCAAACAGGAUUAGAUACCCUGGUAGUCCACGCCGUAAACGAUGUCUACUUGGAGGUUGUGCCCUUGAGGCGUGGCUUCCGGAGCUAACGCGUUAAGUAGACCGCCUGGGGAGUACGGCCGCAAGGUUAAAACUCAAAUGAAUUGACGGGGGCCCGCACAAGCGGUGGAGCAUGUGGUUUAAUUCGAUGCAACGCGAAGAACCUUACCUGGUCUUGACAUCCACAGAACUUUCCAGAGAUGGAUUGGUGCCUUCGGGAACUGUGAGACAGGUGCUGCAUGGCUGUCGUCAGCUCGUGUUGUGAAAUGUUGGGUUAAGUCCCGCAACGAGCGCAACCCUUAUCCUUUGUUGCCAGCGAUUAGGUCGGGAACUCAAAGGAGACUGCCAGUGAUAAACUGGAGGAAGGUGGGGAUGACGUCAAGUCAUCAUGGCCCUUACGACCAGGGCUACACACGUGCUACAAUGGCGCAUACAAAGAGAAGCGACCUCGCGAGAGCAAGCGGACCUCAUAAAGUGCGUCGUAGUCCGGAUUGGAGUCUGCAACUCGACUCCAUGAAGUCGGAAUCGCUAGUAAUCGUGGAUCAGAAUGCCACGGUGAAUACGUUCCCGGGCCUUGUACACACCGCCCGUCACACCAUGGGAGUGGGUUGCAAAAGAAGUAGGUAGCUUAACCUUCGGGAGGGCGCUUACCACUUUGUGAUUCAUGACUGGGGUGAAGUCGUAACAAGGUAACCGUAGGGGAACCUGCGGUUGGAUCACCUCCUUACCUUAAAGAA